Molecule: ribosomal RNA, 782 nt
Filed under: uncultured bacterium
Lineage: Bacteria
Description: bacterial SSU rRNA
Rfam family: Bacterial small subunit ribosomal RNA
Source: RNAcentral
GGCGAACGGGUGAGUAACGCGUUGGUGACCUGCCCCGAAGAGGGGGAUAACAGUUCGAAAGGACUGCUAAUACCCCAUGAGGUCUGUUUAGUUAGAGGUGAGCAGACGAAAGGAGAGAUCCGCUUUGGGAGGGGCCUGCGUCCCAUCAGCUAGUUGGUAGGGUAAAAGCCUACCAAGGCGAAGACGGGUAGGGGGCCUGAGAGGGUGAUCCCCCACACUGGCACUGAAACACGGGCCAGACACCUACGGGUGGCAGCAGUAGGGAAUAUUGCACAAUGGGCGAAAGCCUAAUGCAGCAACGCCGCGUGAGCGAAGAAGGCCUUCGGGUCGUAAAGCUCUUUUCGGGGAGAUGAGGAAGGACAGUAUCCCCGGAAUAAGACUCGGCUAACUACGUGCCAGCAGCCGCGGUAACACGUAGGAGUCAAGCGUUAUCCGAAUUCACUGGGCGUAAAGCGCGUGCAGGCGGUUCGAUAAGUUGGAUGUGAAUGCUCCUGGCUCAACUGGGAGAGGUCGUUCAAUACUGUUGGACUAGAGGGCGGCAGAGGGAGGUGGAAUUCCCGGUGUAGUGGUGAAAUGCGUAGAUAUCGGGAGGAACACCAGUGGCGAAAGCGGCCUCCUGGGCCGCUCCUGACGUUUAGACGCGAAAGCUAGGGGAGCGAACGGGAUUAGACACCCCGCUAGUCCUAGCUGUAAACGAUGUAGACUUGGUGUAGGUGGGGUAAAAGCUAUCAGUGCCGAAGCUAACGCGAUAAGUCUACCGCCUGGGGACUACGGCCGCAAGG